RNAcentral lists this ribosomal RNA (301 nucleotides) under uncultured bacterium. RNAcentral describes it as "partial 16S ribosomal RNA". It matches the Rfam family "Bacterial small subunit ribosomal RNA", at positions 509 to 807 of the family's 1533-position model. The record is from RNAcentral.
CAGUCGCCGCGGUAAUACGAAGGGUGCAAGCGUUAAUCGGAAUUACUGGGCGUAAAGCGUGCGUAGGUGGUGGUUUAAGUCCGUUGUGAAAGCCCUGGGCUCAACCUGGGAAUUGCAGUGGAUACUAGGUCACUAGAGUGUGGUAGAGGAUAGUGGAAUUUCCGGUGUAGCAGUGAAAUGCGUAGAGAUCGGAAAGAACAUCUGUGGCGAAGGCGACUAUCUGGGCCAACACUGACACUGAGGCACGAAAGCGUGGGGAGCAAACAGGAUUAGAUACCCCGGUAGUCCCUGUCUCUUAUAC